AUUGGUGCUUGCACCAGAUGACGAGUGGCGCACGGGUGCGUAACGCGUAUGCAAUCUACCUUUUACUAGAGUAUAGCCCAGAGAAAUUUGGAUUAAUCCUCUAUAAUAUCUUUAAGUUUCAUGACUUUUAGAUUAAAGUUUUAACGGUAAAAGAUGAGCAUGCGUCCUAUUAGUUUGUAGGUGAGGUAACGGCUCACCUAGACUACGAUAGGUAGGGGCCCUGAGAGGGGGAUCCCCCACACUGGUACUGAGACACGGACCAGACUCCUACGGGAGGCAGCAGUAAGGAAUAUUGGACAAUGGACGAAAGUCUGAUCCAGCCAUGCCGCGUGCAGGAUGAAAGCCCUAUGGGUUGUAAACUGCUUUUAUACAGGAAGAAACACUCGUACGUGUACGAGCUUGACGGUACUGUAAGAAUAAGGACCGGCUAACUCCGUGCCAGCAGCCGCGGUAAUACGGAGGGUCCGAGCGUUAUCCGGAAUCAUUGGGUUUAAAGGGUCCGCAGGCGG
Molecule: ribosomal RNA, 509 nt
Filed under: uncultured Bacteroidota bacterium
Lineage: Bacteria; Pseudomonadati; Bacteroidota
Description: bacterial SSU rRNA
Rfam family: Bacterial small subunit ribosomal RNA
Source: RNAcentral